ACUCCUACGGGAGGCAGCAGUGGGGAAUAUUGCACAAUGGGGGAAACCCUGAUGCAGCCAUGCCGCGUGUGUGAAGAAGGCCUUGGGUUGUAAAGCACUUUCAGUAGGGAGGAAGGUAGUGUAGUUAACACCUGCAUUAUUUGACGUUACCUACAGAAGAAGCACCGGCUAACUCCGUGCCAGCAGCCGCGGUAAUACGGAGGGUGCGAGCGUUAAUCGGAAUUACUGGGCGUAAAGCGCAUGCAGGCGGCCUGUUAAGUCAGAUGUGAAAGCCCGGGGUCUUAACCUCGGAAUUGCAUUUGAAACUGGCAGGCUAGAGUCUUGUAGAGGGGUUAGAAUUUCAGGUGUAGCGGUGAAAUGCGUAGAGAUCUGAAGGAAUACCAGUGGCGAAGGCGGCCCCUGGACAAAGACUGACGCUCAGAUGCGAAAGCGUGGGAGCAAACAGGAUUAGAUACCCCGUGGUAGCGACUGA
RNAcentral lists this ribosomal RNA (472 nucleotides) under uncultured bacterium. RNAcentral describes it as "bacterial SSU rRNA". It matches the Rfam family "Bacterial small subunit ribosomal RNA", at positions 335 to 803 of the family's 1533-position model. The record is from RNAcentral.